GAAAGUGAAGCUAUAGGAUUGAAUAAGUCAGAUGUUGUCUUAAGCAAAUAAAGAUGUUCUGCAUCACUAUGGAAACAGAUGGGAAUUUAGUUAUGUAUUAAUGAAGAAAUCACUGAUGACAGCUGUAGAAAACUAGGGAUAUGGUGUAGUCAAAAGGGAGGAAAAUGAUACAAAUGCUAACUGGAAUUCAUAAGAUUGUUCUACAGCCAUUCUAAUUUCUUCUCCCAUCAAAAAGAUGUGCAUUUUAAGCAGGAUGGAGACAUUAAAGUGGCCCAUAUGUAAACCAACAGAAGAUCCCAUUUUCUGGAGACAUCACUUCUGCUUCUGGUCCUAUCAACCUACCUCCUAAGGAUGUCACUUCUACUUCUGGUCCCUUUGAACCCACCUCUUCCUGUCACCCGGCUUUGUAAUGGACAUAUUUCCAUUUUGUACGUCUUUAAAGACCUCUUGCAUUAAUUUAACCUGAUUGCCAAGUACCUUUUACCCAUUUUACACAAUGUAAACUGCAGAAUAACUGAAAAAGUUCUUCAGAGCAUAAAGUUUGUACGUUGUAUUCAUCAUUUUUGAAGUGUAAUAUGUUUGUCAUUUCAACACACAUUAUAAUAAUGGUUUGGUGAUAUAAAUUAUUAUCUGUGUGAGUCAUCAUUUAGCAGGUUUGACUAUAUCUCCCUACUUGAUCAAGGGUGUUGUCAUUUCCCAGUAUCUCCAAAAUGUUGUAUGUGCACAGGUCAGAGUUGCCAUAAAUGUAAGCAUGUUCCCCCAUCAUGUUUUUAAGCUCUCAAAAAAUGUGUAUGCACAUUUCAAGCUUCUAGUUUUUAUGCAUACAAAAGCUUUUUAAAUGAGGCUCCAAGAGUUCAAGCAACAAUAUCUUAUAUUAAAACAGGCCUUGUGAUGAAAAAGGUUGUUUGCCUAAACUCUGAGUCGAGUCAGCCAAAUUCUAAGCCACAUGAAUUAACAGUUGGCAGUAUUGCUCUUCUAAUUACAGUUGUGAAGAAAACUUUUACCUUCUGUUGUCAUUUUUUUACAUUAAAGGUAAAUUAAUUUGACUCAUCUACCAUUUCGCAUCCCUAAAGAAAUUACUUAAUAACAUACUGUAACUGAAGAGGUAUUAUCAGUUUAAUUUACACACACAGCGGAGUAAAAUCAACAUCUGAAUGCAAGUUGAUAUUAUCUGUCUCACAUUUGGUAAUAGGAGCACAUAACAAGAAAAAGAAGAAAGGUUCCCAGUGCCAAAUCCAGGAAU
Long non-coding RNA from Polypterus senegalus (gray bichir), 1243 nucleotides. RefSeq lists it as uncharacterized. Lineage: Eukaryota; Metazoa; Chordata; Cladistia; Polypteriformes; Polypteridae. The transcript is spliced from 3 exons. The record is from RefSeq and is a predicted model, not a curated record.